Molecule: ribosomal RNA, 497 nt
Filed under: uncultured bacterium
Lineage: Bacteria
Description: partial 16S ribosomal RNA
Rfam family: Bacterial small subunit ribosomal RNA
Source: RNAcentral
GAUGAACGCUGGCGGCGUGCCUAAUACAUGCAAGUCGAGCGAACAGACGAGGAGCUUGCUCCUCUGACGUUAGCGGCGGACGGGUGAGUAACACGUGGAUAACCUACCUAUAAGACUGGGAUACCUUCGGGAAACCGGAGCUACUACCGGAUAAUAUAUUGAACCGCAUGGUUCACUAGUGAAAGACGGUUUUGCUGUCACUUAUAGAUGGCUCCGCGCCGCAUUAGCUAGUUGGUAAGGUAACGGCUUACCAAGGCAACGAUGGGUAGCCGACCUGAGAGGGUGAUCGCCCACACUGGAACUGAGACACGGUCCAGACUCCUGCGGGAGGCAGCAGUAUGGAAUCUUCCGCAAUGGGCGAAAGCCUGACGGAGCAACGCCGCGUGAGUGAUGAAGGUCUUCGGAUCGGAAAACUCUGUUAUUAGGGAAGAACAAAUGUGUAAGUAACUAUGCACGUCUUGACGGUACCUAAUCAGAAAGCCACGGCUAACUACGUG